ACUUCUGAUGGAUUGUUUCGCAAGACUUCUGUGCAAGCUAUAAAUCUGGGUGAGUUGCGUCUUGUGACUGAAAGCAGCAGACUGGAGGAAGUGCCAACAACGUUCCACAUCUGAGAAGCUGGCAUUGAGGUGAGCUGCAUACUUUUUAUGUGAAAGCUUUAAAUGCCUUCCUGGGUAGCUACUAUGAAAUGAAGUUGAAGAGGUUUUAGUUUGGGAUGAGAGCUACACCAUGUGUGUGUGGAUCUGAUAUCUGGCAUUUACAGUAGCUUGACGCACCCCUCAGGUAAUGAGAAGAGCACUACAGGAUAACCAUACCUAGUAAAGGGAGGGCUUGGAAGGAGACAUUGCUACAGAAAUUCCAAGGGGUGAAAUAAAAUAUUUAACAAGAGAAUCUUGAGACUAGAAUCUCUAUGUUGUCAGAAAUUAACUAGUUUAUUUAAUAAUAAUGUUAUUAUUGCUAGCAGCAGUAGUACAGAUAAGUCAAUAAACAUCAUCAAAGUCAUUGAAGUCAUAAAAUAGUGUUCUAGCAACCAAUAAAUUGCACUUUCAUUUAGAAAUUAACUGAAUGUUUCACUAGUUUUUUACAUACAAUAUUGUGAGUUGUGAACUGCUGUCAAAACAGCCCACACCUAUUUCUAAAGUAAUUCUCAAAUGCAGUGUCAGUCAUGAAUUGAAAGACUCAUUGUAAGAGACUAAGAAGCUAAAACAAAAGAAUGUCUCAAAAACUCAGCAGAAAAGGGUGAUACGGUCAGAAAAGAUGAUCCUGCUAGGGCUGGAUAGUGCUUUUCUGAGGCCAACAUCCUUAUCCUGGGUAACCUUCUGAGAUACCUUCUGGCAUCUGAGGUUGUUGCAGCUGUGGUCGGAAAUGUAUUAGCAAUCUCUCCUCCCUACCCCCCCAAUUCUGCCUUCCCCUCAAGAAGGUUCUGGGUCACAGGAUGCCCAUAUUACCAUACAAAGCAGGAUCUGGAGGUGGGGACUAGCUGUAAUUAGGAUACAAAGUGAGAACUGGAGCUGGGUCCAGCAUAUAAAUAGGGUGUCUCAGAAGGGCUUUGUGUGCACCCACCACCAUCGCAGACAGAACAGGAACUGGACCAGAGACAUCGCUGGAACCCAGGGUGGCUGUCAUCUGACUUCUACAGCAAGAAAUCCAA
Molecule: long non-coding RNA, 1151 nt
Filed under: Cairina moschata (Muscovy duck)
Lineage: Eukaryota; Metazoa; Chordata; Aves; Anseriformes; Anatidae
Description: domestica (muscovy Duck (domestic type)) lncRNA (ENSCMMG00000004988.1)
Source: RNAcentral